RNAcentral lists this ribosomal RNA (1105 nucleotides) under Bacillus pumilus. RNAcentral describes it as "bacterial SSU rRNA". It matches the Rfam family "Bacterial small subunit ribosomal RNA", at positions 243 to 1321 of the family's 1533-position model. Lineage: Bacteria; Bacillati; Bacillota; Bacilli; Caryophanales; Bacillaceae. The record is from RNAcentral.
AGCUAGUUGGUGGGGUAUACUAUGGCUCACCAAGGGCGACGAUGCGUAGCCGACCUGAGAGGGUGAUCGGCCACGACUGGGACUGAGACACGGCCCAGACUCCUACGGAGGCAGCAGUAGGGAAUCUUCCGCAAUGGACGAAAGUCUGACGGAGCAACGCCGCGUGAGUGAUGAAGGUUUUCGGAUCGUAAAGCUCUGUUGUUAGGGAAGAACAAGUGCGAGGUAACUGCUGCACCCUGUUGACUGGUACCUAACCAGAAAGCACCACGGCUAACUACGUGCCAGCAGCCGCGGUAAUACGUAGGUGGCAAGCGUUGUCCGGAAUUAUUGGGCGUAAAGGGCUCGCAGGCGGUUUCUUAAGUCUGAUGUGAAAGCCCCGGCUCAACCGGGGAGGGUCAUUGGAAACUGGGAAACUUGAGUGCAGAAGAGGAGAGUGGAAUUCCACGUGUAGCGGUGAAAUGGCGUAGAGGCUGUGGAGGAACACCAGUGGCGAAGGCACUCUCUGGUCUGUAACUGACGCUGAGGAGCGAAAGCGUGGGGAGCGAACAGGAUUAGAUACCCUGGUAGUCCACGCCGUAAACGAUGAGUGCUAAGUGUUAGGGGGUUUCCGCCCCUUAGUGCUGCAGCUAACGCAUAAGCACUCCGCCUGGGGAGUACGGUCGCAAGACUGAAACUCAAAGGAAUUGACGGGGGCCCGCACAAGCGGUGGAGCAUGUGGUUUAAUUCGAAGCAACGCGAAGAACCUUACCAGGUGGCUCUUGACAUCCUCUGACAACCCUAGAGAUAGGGCGCUUUCCCUUCGGGGACAGAGUGACAGGUGGUGCAUGGUUGUCGUCAGCCUCGUGUCGUGAGAUGUUGGGUUAAGUCCCGCAACGAGCGCAACCCUUGAUCUUAGUUGCCAGCAUUUAGUUGGGCACUCUAAGGUGACUGCCGGUGACAAACCGGAGGAAGGUGGGUAUGACGUCAAAUCAUCAUGCCCCUUAUGACCUGGGCUACACACGUGCUACAAUGGACAGAACAAAGGGCUGCGAGACCGCAAGGUUUAGGCUCCAAUCCCAUAAAUCUGUUCUCAGUUCGGAGGCCGCAGUCUGCAACUCGACUGCGU